GAACUGCCCCAGCUGUCUCUUAGAUAACUAUGGACCGAACAAAUGCACAGUCACUACCUACAAUAAUGGACUGAUCCAAUGGACUGUCCCAGCUGUCUCUUAGCUAACUGUGGACCGAUCCGAUGUACAGUCACUACCUACAAUAAUGGACUGAUCCAAUGAACUGCCCCAGCUGUCUCUUAGAUAACUAUGGACCAAACCAAUGCACAGUCACUACCUACAAUAAUGGACUGAUCCAAUGAACUGUCCUGGCUGUCUCUUAGUUAACUGUGGACCAAACCAAUGCACAGUCACUACCUACAAUAAUGGACUGAUCCAACACAGCAGCACAACAUAUGAAAUCAUCACCUUCUCCUUGACUGAUUUGCGCCAAAGUUAAUAUGGUUGUGUAUCCGCCCCUGAUAUGUUAUUAUGCUAAAUAUGAGACAAAUCUAUCAAGUUGUUGUAAUGUGUAUGAAUGCCGUCCUGUAACAAUGAGUGACAAGUGAGGAAGAUAUAAAUGUGUUGACAGCACAAAUAACAACACAAUGACAACAAUACAGAGAGAAGGAAAAUAACUGGAUAAGAAGAAUAAUGCAAAGGGCCCGGACAGGUCUCCUACAGGAAGCACAAGAGCAAAGGUGAUAGAGGAGAAGAUAAAUAGAUGGGAUACGACGAAGAACAGAGUCUAGAAUCCGAAAUCAGUGAUAAAUGUGAUAAAGAAGGAAAGCAAAUAAUUCUCAUCGUAGAAGGUGGAUAUUAAUGUUACAUCAGCAUGCUCCACUGUAAGCUUAUAUAACAACAGCAGCUGGUGCCGAGACUGGUUCAGAUAGGUCCAGACGGGAUAAUGGUGCAACAAAAUCAUCUGACAGAAAAUGGCCAGGAUUACAAAAUAGCCAGAACCCCUUAAAGGGAAUGUGUCACAUAAUAAUAUAGCAUUGAUCAGUGCCUGCAAUCAGUGUAAUGCAUUUUAUAGCCCCCUAUAAGGGCUAUAACA
This is a long non-coding RNA of Hyla sarda, 976 nucleotides long. RefSeq lists it as uncharacterized. NCBI's taxonomy places the organism in Eukaryota, Metazoa, Chordata, Amphibia, Anura, Hylidae. The record is from RefSeq and is a predicted model, not a curated record. The transcript is spliced from 3 exons.